GUAGGGAAUAUUGGGCAAUGGAGGCAACUCUGACCCAGCCAUGCCGCGUGAAGGAAGACGGUCCUAUGGAUUGUAAACUUCUUUUAUCAUAGAGUAACCGCAGGGACGUGUCCCUGCCUGCAAGUAUAUGAUGAAUAAGCAUCGGCUAACUCCGUGCCAGCAGCCGCGGUAAUACGGAGGAUGCAAGCGUUAUCCGGAUUUAUUGGGUUUAAAGGGUGCGCAGGCUGACCGGUAAGUCAGGGGUGAAACUUUACAGCUUAACUGUAAACGUGCCUUUGAUACUGCCGGACUAGAGUUUAAGAGACGUAAUUGGAAUGUGAUGUGUAGCGGUGAAAUGCUUAGAUAUAUCACAGAACGCCGAUCGUGAAGACAGAUUACGAACUUAAUACUGACGCUCAUGUACGAAAGCGUGGGGAUCAAACAGGAUUAGAAACCCCAGUAGUCC
Molecule: ribosomal RNA, 445 nt
Filed under: uncultured bacterium
Lineage: Bacteria
Description: partial 16S ribosomal RNA
Rfam family: Bacterial small subunit ribosomal RNA
Source: RNAcentral